AGUCAUAUGCUUGUCUCAAAGAUUAAGCCAUGCAUGUCUAAGUAUAGAUGGUAUACAAUGAAACUGCGAAUGGCUCAUUAAAACAGUUAUAGUUUAUUUGGUAACCAAACUUACAUGGAUAACCGUGGUAAUUCUAGAGCUAAUACAUGCUGUCACGCCCGACUCACGAAGGGCCGUAUUUAUUAGAUAUCAGCCAAUAAGCAUCUGCUAUUGUGGUGACUCAUAGUAACUUAAUCGGAUCGCAUGGGCUUGCCCCGCGACAAACCAUUCAAGUUUCUGCCCCAUCAUGCUUUCGAUGGUAGUGUAUUGGCCUACCGUGGCAAUGACGGGUAACGGAGAAUUAGGGUUCGAUUCCGGAGAGGGAGCCUGAGAAACGGCUACCACAUCUAAGGAAGGCAGCAGGCGCGCAAAUUACCCAAUCCCGAUACGGGGAGGUAGUGACAAGAAAUAACAAUACAGGGCAUCCAUGUCCUGUAAUUGGAAUGAGUAGAAUUUAAAUCCCUUUACGAGUAUCGAU
RNAcentral lists this ribosomal RNA (517 nucleotides) under uncultured eukaryote. Its description in RNAcentral is "bacterial SSU rRNA". It matches the Rfam family "Eukaryotic small subunit ribosomal RNA", at positions 22 to 548 of the family's 1831-position model. The record is from RNAcentral.